This 460-nucleotide ribosomal RNA is filed under the name uncultured bacterium. RNAcentral's name for it is "partial 16S ribosomal RNA". It matches the Rfam family "Bacterial small subunit ribosomal RNA", at positions 338 to 795 of the family's 1533-position model. The record is from RNAcentral.
CCUACGGGUGGCAGCAGUGAGGAAUAUUGGUCAAUGGACGAGAGUCUGAACCAGCCAAGUAGCGUGAAGGAUGACUGCCCUAUGGGUUGUAAACUUCUUUUAUAUGGGAAUAAAAUGUUCCACGUGUGGGAUUUUGUAUGUACCAUAUGAAUAAGGAUCGGCUAACUCCGUGCCAGCAGCCGCGGUAAUACGGAGGAUCCGAGCGUUAUCCGGAUUUAUUGGGUUUAAAGGGAGCGUAGGUGGAUUGUUAAGUCAGUUGUGAAAGUUUGCGGCUCAACCGUAAAAUUGCAGUUGAAACUGGCAGUCUUGAGUACAGUAGAGGUGGGCGGAAUUCGUGGUGAAGCGGUGAAAUGCUUAGAUAUCACGAAGAACUCCGAUUGCGAAGGCAGUUCACUGGACUGCAACUGACACUGAGGCUCGAAAGUGUGGGUAUCAAACAGGAUUAGAUACCCUUGUAGUC